This 462-nucleotide unclassified non-coding RNA is filed under the name Hevea brasiliensis (rubber tree). Lineage: Eukaryota; Viridiplantae; Streptophyta; Magnoliopsida; Malpighiales; Euphorbiaceae. The record is from RNAcentral.
CUUGAUGACUAUGUCGGGAUCGCCAAGCAUCGCGCUUCGACCUACAACCGCGCAAAACUUGGCGACCUGCAGACGACGCAAAUCAAGAUCGCUGAAGCCUCCGCAAAAAUCGAUGCGGCACGUCUCAUCAUGCGCCGGACGUGCAUUGAAGCCAUGUCUGAUGCCCGCCAUGGUACUGUCCCCGAUCUCUCGGAAAAAACCAAAUACCGGCGCGAUGGGGCAUAUGCGGUCAAUCUGUGCACCGAAGCGGUCUCGACGCUGUUUUCGGCGAGCGGCGCGCGGGGCCUUUACACGACUGGCGCAUUGCAGCGGCAGUUCCGCGAUGCUCACGCGAUCAACGCUCAUAUCGCGUUCAGCUUCGAUGCUGCCGGAACCAACUAUGGUCGCGUUGCGCUGGACUUGCCGUCCGAAAACCUGACCCUCUGAGGCUCGGUGAUGGUUGCAUCGCAGAACCCGACGGAU